AUUCCAGCUCCAAUAGCGUAUAUUUAAGUUGUUGCAGUUAAAAAGCUCGUAGUUGGAUUUCGGUUGAGAGCGGCCGGUCCGCCGUUUGGUGUGCACUGGCUGGUUUCAGCUUCCUGCAGAGGACGCGCUCUGGGCUUAAUCGUCUGGACGUGGAGUCUGCGUGGUUACUUUGAAAAAAUUAGAGUGUUCAAAGCGGGCUUACGCUUGAAUAUUUCAGCAUGGAAUAACACUAUAGGGCUCCUGUCCUAUUUCGUUGGUCUCGGGACGGGAGUAAUGAUUAAUAGGGAUAGUUGGGGGUAUUCAUAUUUAAUUGUCUGAGGUGAAAUUCUUGGAUUUAUGAAAGAUGAACUUAUGCGAAAGCAUUUACCAAGGAUGUUUUCAUUG
Molecule: ribosomal RNA, 384 nt
Filed under: Micromonas sp.
Lineage: Eukaryota; Viridiplantae; Chlorophyta; Mamiellophyceae; Mamiellales; Mamiellaceae
Description: partial small subunit ribosomal RNA
Rfam family: Eukaryotic small subunit ribosomal RNA
Source: RNAcentral